CCCUUAGAUGUUCUGGGCGGCCCGCGCACUACAAUGGCGUGUGCAGCGAGUGCCGAAGUAGAGUUUUCCGAGGUAUUCUUGCAAUGCUCGUUUUGAUGGGGAUAGACCCUUGCAACUGUUGGUUUUGAACGAGGAAUUCCUUGUAAGCAUGGUUUAUCAUCCGACGCUGAAUGCGUCCCUGCCCUUUGUACACACCGCCCGUCGCUCCUACCGAUGAGUCGUCCGGUGAAUAAUUCGGACUGCAGCAAUGUUUGGAUCCCGAACGUUGCAGCGGAAAGUUUAGUGAACCUUAUCACUUAGAGGAAGGAGAAGUCGUAACA
This 320-nucleotide ribosomal RNA is filed under the name uncultured eukaryote. RNAcentral's name for it is "partial 18S ribosomal RNA". It matches the Rfam family "Eukaryotic small subunit ribosomal RNA", at positions 1470 to 1796 of the family's 1831-position model. The record is from RNAcentral.